This 492-nucleotide ribosomal RNA is filed under the name uncultured bacterium. Its description in RNAcentral is "partial 16S ribosomal RNA". It matches the Rfam family "Bacterial small subunit ribosomal RNA", at positions 29 to 507 of the family's 1533-position model. The record is from RNAcentral.
AGUGAACGCUGGCGGUAGGCCUAACACAUGCAAGUCGAACGGCAGCACAGUAAGAGCUUGCUCUUACGGGUGGCGAGUGGCGGACGAGUGAGGAAUACAUCGGAAUCUACUUUUUUGUGGGGGAUAACGUAGGGAAACUUACGCUAAUACCGCAUACGACCUACGGGUGAAAGCAGGGGAUCUUCGGACCUUGCGCGAUUGAAUGAGCCGAUGUCGGAUUAGCUAGUUGGCGGGGUAAAGGCCCACCAAGGCGACGAUCCGUAGCUGGUCUGAGAGGAUGAUCAGCCACACUGGAACUGAGACACGGUCCAGACUCCUACGGGAGGCAGCAGUGGGGAAUAUUGGACAAUGGGCGCAAGCCUGAUCCAGCCAUACCGCGUGGGUGAAGAAGGCCUUCGGGUUGUAAAGCCCUUUUGUUGGGAAAGAAAAGCAGCAGGUUAAUACCCCGCUGUUCUGACGGUACCCAAAGAAUAAGCACCGGCUAACUUCGUG